UACGUAGGGACCGAGCGUUGUCCGGAUUCAUUGGGCGUAAAGAGCUCGUAGGCGGCCACUCAAGUCGAAUGUGAAACCUCGAGGCUUAACCUCGAGCCUGCAUUCGAUACUGGGCGGCUAGAGUCUGGUAGGGGGAUCUGGAAUUCCUGGUGUAGCGGUGGAAUGCGCAGAUAUCAGGAGGAACACCAAUGGCGAAGGCAGCUCGCUGGGACGUGACUGACGCUGAGACGCGAAAGCGUGGGGAGCAAACAGG
Molecule: ribosomal RNA, 253 nt
Filed under: uncultured bacterium
Lineage: Bacteria
Description: partial 16S ribosomal RNA
Rfam family: Bacterial small subunit ribosomal RNA
Source: RNAcentral